This 381-nucleotide ribosomal RNA is filed under the name Vibrio vulnificus. RNAcentral's name for it is "bacterial SSU rRNA". It matches the Rfam family "Bacterial small subunit ribosomal RNA", at positions 1162 to 1533 of the family's 1533-position model. The record is from RNAcentral. Lineage: Bacteria; Pseudomonadati; Pseudomonadota; Gammaproteobacteria; Vibrionales; Vibrionaceae.
ACCGGAGGAAGGUGGGGACGACGUCAAGUCAUCAUGGCCCUUACGAGUAGGGCUACACACGUGCUACAAUGGCGCAUACAGAGGGCGGCCAACUUGCGAAAGUGAGCGAAUCCCAAAAAGUGCGUCGUAGUCCGGAUUGGAGUCUGCAACUCGACUCCAUGAAGUCGGAAUCGCUAGUAAUCGUGGAUCAGAAUGCCACGGUGAAUACGUUCCCGGGCCUUGUACACACCGCCCGUCACACCAUGGGAGUGGGCUGCAAAAGAAGUGGGUAGUUUAACCUUCGGGAGGACGCUCACCACUUUGUGGUUCAUGACUGGGGUGAAGUCGUAACAAGGUAGCGCUAGGGGAACCUGGCGCUGGAUCACCUCCUUAUACGAUGAU